CCUACGGGAGGCAGCAGUGGGGAAUUUUGGACAAUGGGCGCAAGCCUGAUCCAGCAAUGCCGCGUGAGUGAAGAAGGCCUUCGGGUUGUAAAGCUCUUUUGUCAGGGAAGAAACGGUGGAGGUUAAUACCUUCUGCUAAUGACGGUACCUGAAGAAUAAGCACCGGCUAACUACGUGCCAGCAGCCGCGGUAAUACGUAGGGUGCAAGCGUUAAUCGGAAUUACUGGGCGUAAAGCGUGCGCAGGCGGUUGUGCAAGACAGAUGUGAAAUCCCCGGGCUCAACCUGGGAAUUGCAUUUGUGACUGCACGGCUAGAGUGUGUCAGAGGGGGGUAGAAUUCCACGUGUAGCAGUGAAAUGCGUAGAGAUGUGGAGGAAUACCGAUGGCGAAGGCAGCCCCCUGGGAUAACACUGACGCUCAUGCACGAAAGCGUGGGGAGCAAACAGGAUUAGAUACCCUGGUAGUCCACGCCCUAAACGAUGUCUACUAGUUGUCGGGUCUUAAUUGACUUGGUAACGCAGCUAACGCGUGAAGUAGACCGCCUGGGGAGUACGGUCGCAAGAUUAAAACUCAAAUGAAUUGACGGCUGAGACGNGCGAGGACGACACGAGGGAGGAGG
This 618-nucleotide ribosomal RNA is filed under the name uncultured bacterium. Its description in RNAcentral is "bacterial SSU rRNA". It matches the Rfam family "Bacterial small subunit ribosomal RNA", at positions 338 to 951 of the family's 1533-position model. The record is from RNAcentral.